AGUGAACGCUGGCGGUAGGCUUAACACAUGCAAGUCGAACGGCAGCGCAGUAAGAGCUUGGGCUUCCGGGUGGGGAGUGGGGGGUGGGUGAGGAAAACAUCCGAAUCUACUUUUUCGUGGGGCUUAACGAAGGGAAACCUACGCCAAUACCGCAAAUGACCUACGGUGGAAAGCGUGGGAUCUUCGCAGCUUGCGGGGUUGAAUGAGCCGAUGUCGGAUUUGCUAGUUGGCGGGGUAAAGGCCCACCAAGGCGACGAUCCGUAGCUGGUCUGAGAGGAUGAUCAGCCACACUGGAACUGAGACACGGUCCAGACUCCUACGGGAGGCAGCAGUGGGGAAUAUUGGACAAUGGGGGCAAACCUGAUCCAGCCAUCCCGCGUGGGAGAAGAAGGCCUUCGGGUUGUAAAGCCCUUUUGUUGGGAAAGAAACGCAGCCGGUUAAUACCCCGCUGUACUGACGGUACCCGAAGAAUAAGCACCGGCUAACUACGUG
This 492-nucleotide ribosomal RNA is filed under the name uncultured bacterium. RNAcentral describes it as "partial 16S ribosomal RNA". It matches the Rfam family "Bacterial small subunit ribosomal RNA", at positions 29 to 507 of the family's 1533-position model. The record is from RNAcentral.